ACCAUAUAUUAAUUUUUUUUUUUUACUUUCUUAUUAAUUAUCCACAUAUGAAACUAUUCAUAUGCAAAAUUUUUUUUUUGAUAGAUAGGUAGCACGCUAUUCACUUCGUUUAUUUCAUUUAGAAAUAAACUUAGCUGGAAAUGUGAAUCAACUAGGAUUUGAACUUGGGACCUCAAGUAUCAACCAUCAAGUCCUUUCACUCCAACAAAAUUAGGUUAUGGGACACUUUUAUAUGAGCGUUCCAUUUAUGCUAAAUUUUUUUAAAAAAAUCUACUAAGUUUUAAAUAUAAAGCGGAAUCCAACCAAAAAUAAAAAUUUCUCUACUCAACCAACCAUACCAAACCCACUCGGCCCGAUUACAAAAUAAAUAAAUAAAUAAAUAAAAUAAAAAUAAUCACCAUCUUCUCUUCUCCUCUUCCGCUGCCGUAACCGACGAGAUAGGCUUUCAACAAAUGGAGUUCGGCCGCGAGGAUUUCGCAGGGACCGUAGAGAGCUACGAUCGCUACGUAUUUCUCCACCACAAGUUGCUGGAGGAGGGGUGCCAAAUAUUAAGAUGGCCCUNUGGUCUAUAGUUUAUACAAGUUAUGCACAUUUUUAUCUCAAUAAAAUCCCUUUAAUCUUAGGACGAGCCGACUGGUACCAUAUAUUAAUUUUUUUUUUACUUUCUUAUUAAUUAUCCACGUAUGAAACUAUUCAUAUGCAAAUUUAUUUUUUUUUGAUAGAUAGGUAGCGUGCUAUUCACUUCGUUUAUUUCAUUUAGAAAUAAACUUAGCUGGAAAUGUGAAUCAACUAGGAUUUGAACUUGGGACCUCAAGUACCAACCGUCAAGUCCUUUCACUACAACAAAAUUAGGUUAUGGGACACUUUUAUAUGAGCAUUCCAUUUAUGCUAAAUUUUUUUUAAAAAAUCUACUAAGCCUUAAAUAUAAAGCCGAAUCCAACCAAACAUAAAAAUUUCUCUACUCAACCAACCACACCGAGCCCACUCGGCCCGAUUACAAAAAAAAAAAAAGAAAAAAAAAAAAAAAAAAAAAAAAAAAAAAAAUUGAUCACCAUCUUCUCUUCUCCUCUUCCGCUGCCGUAACCGACGAGAUAGGGUUUCAACAAAUGGAGUUCGGCCACGAGGAUUUCGCAGGGACCGUAGAGAGCUACGAUCGCUACGUAUUUCUCCACCACAAGUUGCUGGAGGAGGGGUGCCAAAUAUUAAGAUGGCCCUAUCUAUAGCGACGCAACAUAUAGCAACAAUUUUAAAAAUGCCUGUAAUUUAGCCAGCGGCAUUUUUUUUUAUCCGUACCGAUAUUUAAAAGUAUCAUUAUAUACCUUUUUUAUUAUAAUAUUUGCCACUUGCUCUAGAGACGAUCGGCUCACAUGCAAAUUUUUAACAAAUGAAACGUGAUUUUAUUUUUUAUUUUUUAUUUUUUAUUUUUUUUUUAUAACA
Molecule: long non-coding RNA, 1437 nt
Filed under: Ananas comosus (pineapple)
Lineage: Eukaryota; Viridiplantae; Streptophyta; Magnoliopsida; Poales; Bromeliaceae
Description: long non-coding RNA (ACOM_LNC015515)
Source: RNAcentral